AGGACGAACGCUGGCGGCGUGCUUAACACAUGCAAGUGGAGCGACGAACCAGGGCUUGCCCUGGGGCAGAGCCGCGAACGGGUGAGUAACACGUGGGUUACCUGCCUUGAUGACCGGGACAACCCGAGGAAACUCGGGCUAAUACCGGAUGUGCCCGCAAGGGGAAAGGAAGCUUCGGCCUCCGCAUCAAGAUGGGCCCGCGGCCCAUUAGCUAGUUGGUGAGGUAACGGCUCACCAAGGCUUCGAUGGGUAGCUGGUCUGAGAGGACGAUCAGCCACACUGGGACUGAGACACGGCCCAGACUCCUACGGGAGGCAGCAGUGGGGAAUCUUGCGCAAUGCGCGAAAGCGUGACGCAGCAACGCCGCGUGGGGGAAGAAGGCUUUCGGGUUGUAAACCCCUUUCAGUUGGGACGAAGCUUCGCCGGUGAAUAGCCGGCUGGAGUGACGGUACCUUCACAAGAGCACCGGCUAACUACGCGCCAGCAGCCGCGGU
RNAcentral lists this ribosomal RNA (494 nucleotides) under uncultured bacterium. RNAcentral describes it as "SSU rRNA". It matches the Rfam family "Bacterial small subunit ribosomal RNA", at positions 26 to 521 of the family's 1533-position model. The record is from RNAcentral.